GCUGCCUGGAAGCUGCCGCCGCCAUGGCAGGGAAGGGCAGGAGUGAGGGCAGCGCAGCCGGGGAGCUCCGGCCCUGCUCCUGCGGCUCGGAGCCUGCCGCCGUGCAGUGUCGGGAAGGGUUUGCUUAAAUGGGUUUGAAGUGCUUAAAAGGGUUUGUUUCCUCUAUAAAUAAUAUUAUCAGUAGUAGCGUUGUUCUGGGCAAGGCUCUCCUCCGUGCCCUCAAAACGCGUGUUGCGGGUGAGAAGGGGCUCUUGGAAGGCUCUGGAGCGCGCGUCACAUGAGGAGCAGCUGCGGGAGCUGUUUAGCCUGGAGGAGGCUCGGGAGGGACCUUCCCGCCCUCAACUCCCUGUAAGGAGCUCGUAGCCAGGUGGGGGUCGGCCUCUUCUUCGUAGUAACAAGUGGUAGGAUAAGUGCAAGUGGCCAGGGAACGGCCUUAAGCUGUGCUGCAGGAGGUUUAGAUGGGAUAUCCGGAAAAACUUCACAGAAAGGGUGAAGCAUUGGAAUAUGCUGCCCAGGGAAGUGGUGGAAUCACUGUCCCUGCAAGCGCUCAGAAAAGCUGUAAUGUGGUGUAUAUGAACAUGCUUUAGUGACAGAGUUGGCAGUGCUUGGUUAAUGGUUGGGUUCAUUGUUAAUGGUCUUUCCCAACAUUAACAAUUCUUUGUGAAAGACUGUUCCUGUGUUUCUUUUAUGUUUGGCUGUUUGUUGUUCGGGUUUUUUUUCUUUAAUGAUUUUCCCUAAAAUGCUGGGCAAUGAUAGGAAUGUUUUAUACCUUAACAGAAUAGCACUAUUUCAUUGUUGCUGUUACAAGUGCCCACGGGUGCGGGGGGAGCACUGUCCCCCUGUUUACUCUGUUCCAGUAUUCAGAGAAAUGGCUAGAAGGUGAACAUGAGUAGAUCAGGAUUUAAGAAAAUGCUUAUCAAUGCCUUGGUGCACAGGGUUUCUGCUUGCAGGUGAGGUUAGAUGCUCUGCAAGAAAAUACUGACCAUUUGCAUUAGUCCAUCGUGUCCAGCUACUCCUGUAACCCAUUAAUGCUUUUUUCAGCACUGAGAUUUUGAAAUUUGUCUACCUGAUAUGUUUUUUCUUCAUGGGUCAUUUUUAUCUUUAAGAUGUUUCAGUUUUUAUGCAUCGUCUUCAAGUCAAAGCUUACAAUUUUGCUUUUGUUGAGGGUUUGUUUUUGUUUUUGUUUUUUUGUUGGGUUUUGUUUUUUUGUGGGGUGUUUUGUUUUGGUUGGUUAUUUUCAUCCACCUGCAAACCUCUCUGCUAUACUGGAUACAAAUCACUCCGGAUUUUUGCACACAACACUGUGCUGCUCAUUUGUGGUAUUUUCUUUUGUGUCUAUGGGUUAUAUACUAUAGGACAGAGGUUUUGUCUCAAGUAGGUAUGGUGUCUUGUAUGGCUGCUGUUAAGAAGGUACAUAUAUCUUUAAGUUGAUAAUUAUUAAAAGCUUGACACAGAUGGAGGAAACAAAAACCUAUAUUAUUCAGGUUCAACUGAAGAAUGUAUAAUGCUACACGUGUCCUUGAAGUUUUCCUGCUAAUGAGCCUUAACAUAAACUUAAAAAAAAAAAAAAUUUAAAAAAGGCAGCUUUAAAAUGGAAAAUUGACAUGAUUUCUGCCUACAAGAUCUCAAAAUAAUGACUAUAGCCAUAGGAAAGUGUUAAUCCUUGUGGUGGUCAUUAAACAACCAAAAAUUAGCAGAGGGAGCAUUAAUUGGGAAAGUGGAUUUUCAGAGGUUGUGCAGUCCUAUGUCAUGACAAGACUCCAGACGAACAUGAGCUGCCAAAGUCAAGGAGAGCUAACUAACCCAAGAGCCUUGAAAGAGACCUACUGUAUGUCUGUACCGAAGAAAUUCUUGAAUUAGUGAUGAGAAAUACUGUAAAGCAGAAGAGUCACACUGAAAUGUCAGUGGUCAAGUUGCACCCGUUUUGCAACAGUAGCAGCCACUGACAUGGAAAAGCACUAGCAGAUAGGUGGAAGUGUGGUUCCAGUUCAGAACUUACUAUGCAAAAGAAAUGGGAAUAAAAACACCUUGUAUUUGGAGUUUGACAUGUCUGCACAUUAUCAAGAAAAGGUUGUAAACAUUGUAAUUCAAAAUGGGAUGCCCGUAGAGCCAAUUAGUAAGGGAUGGAGUAUGACCUAGGAGAAGAUAAUGAGAAUUACAGACUUUAUGCAUUGCCUUGUGUUAGUUUAAGACAUGGAAGGUUUUGCUUACUUAAAUCUUCAUUGAAAUCACCAGGCAAUUAUACCAGCAGUUUAUGCCAGCAGAGGGCUAGCUGUUGCACCUCAUGGCACUAAACAUCAUCUAUUAUAAAGAAAAUAUAGGUGCCAUCCUUCUUAAAGGUCUGCAGGCAUCUGCUCUAACAAAUUCAUUACACUCAAGCUGAGAUGUGUGUAUAUAUAUAUAUAUUCAUGUGUGCCUCCUUUUGUACAGGAGAAGUCCCCAUUAGUGGGUGUUUCUCUGCUCACAGAGGGCACUGCCUGAGCUUUGCAGUUUGUAGCUGCUGUUGGCUGUGCUGCACUGAGGUGAACAAUUAGCUCCACUGUAAAACAGAAGGUGAUACAGUGCCUGCCAGGCAGUCAGAAACCUGCAGAUAAGACCCUCUGUACCAACUGUUUGUGAUAAAACAUUCUUAGAGCAUAUUCUCUGUAUCGAUCACCUUUAGAGUAUAUGACACUGCUGAAGGUAAUGAGCACCAGAGUACCUGGGGCUGUACAGGGACUGACCUAAACCCCCACAUGCCUGUAAGGGGCUCUGUGCCUCCAGAGCUUUCUCUGAAAAAUGCUUGUUGCUCCAGAUAAAUCUGGGCAUCACUGUCCACAAAAUUCACAUGGACUUCUGUCCAAACUGCCUAAAACACAGUUCUGUUUGACUGCUGUCCAUGUGCCCUGGGGUUAUUUCACAAUGUUCUGUAAUUUUAAAUACCUGAAAGGGCUGGUCUACUCAAGCAUCUCUGGUGAGACAGAGCUCUAACAGGCAGUGCUAACACACAGCACAAAACAGCAAGAGCCAGUUUUUGAAGCAGCCCUGCAGGCUCCUUGAUUCAUUGGAUUGGUUCAUCCUUACUCCCUUCAUCUCCUGCCAGUUCCAGGCCCAAUCCUCUUGGUCAGCAGUCAGCUCACAAAACUGGGGAGCUGAAACUUUCGACCACACUUUCCAGAAACCUGUAACACUGAUAGUGACUUAUGGCAUUGUUCACCCCAACCUGAUGUCCUGAAAGCAACAACAAGACCCUGAACACCAGGUCCAAUAGGAGGUCCCCACAACAUCAGAAAUGCUGUUUUGGUCUCAAUUUUUAUUUUGUCUUCCAUAGAAUAUGCUUUCUUCGUUAAUUUAUCUGAAGGGAACAGGUCUAGCUUACUGAACAUAAAAGCAGAUGAUCCUUAUCCUGGAUCCACAGCUGAAAGUUACUGGGCACUGAAUGGAAAGGGCCUUCCCUUCUGGCCAUUUAAUUUCUAGGAGUGUGCUGGAGUUUCAACAAAAGCGGUUAUCUCUUCAUGUCCUCUGGUGGACUAGGUCCCGAAAUGAUUUGACUGGAGUUAGAAGGAUUAGCUUUUCUACAUGUAUUGUUGCAUGCCAGCCAAAAUGUUAUGUAUGUUUUAUCUGAAAGAGAAGGACAGGACUCAGCACUCAGUCUUUCUUAUAUGUCAACUGGAGAAGGGAUUGCCUUUUCACAGGCUAAAGAGAAGAAGGGAAAAUUACAGAAGUAAAGAUUUUCUUCAUGGGGGAGAGGCUUGGAAAGGAGCAAGAUAAAGGAAAUACAAACAGCAAGUACAUAUCCUACAUGAGAAUGGUAAAGGAUUUUAAUGUCUUGGACAUAGUACCACCACCUAUAACCACAGACUGUAGUUAAGGUGGUAUUGCAAGGAAAGAUAAUUUCCACUAAAGGCCAAAGCUAAUGCCAAAGCUAGUGUACUUGUCAGGCUGCUCUGACUGAUCGUGUUACCUGACUGUCCUCUUCUGGAACCUUCAGUUUGAUCACACUCCAACUUUCCCCUGCAAAUCAUUAUGUUUAUGGCAGGCCACAGGCAUCUUAAAGGUAUAGUUCACACUGGCACUCUAUUAGUCAAAAAGACAGCAUCACACUCAGUGAGGUACUGUGACUGUCAGGAUGAGGGCAUUUAUAUAUGGCACAAUGAUGCUGUUGUCAGCUCUGUGCAUGGCUGCUUAUCAAAAUCUCAGCAGUUCAGACCUGAAAGUACAGAUGAACCACUGCAAUGAUCACUAGGGUACAAUGGAUCACGAAGUACUGCAGAAUGUAAUUCCAUAUAAUUAUGAUGCUUUUAGAGCCCCUCGUGGGCCAGCAGAAGGGCUGGUGUUUGUCAGCUAUUCUGGCACAGCUCAACCUAUUGCCCCUCUGGACGCUGACUUGGUAAAUAGCCAGGGAGCAGAGGAUCAAACAGCAUAUGGCUUUGCAGACUUUACUGGGCUGCAGUAAACAUCCCAGCCCUGAACAGCUGUGCCUUGUCUCUAACAAGAUUACUUUUAAGAGACUGGUACCUUCUGGACUGGAUGAAAAUCUGGAAAUAAGCAUGUUGUUGUCAAGGCUUUGAGUGCACCAAGAGCCUCUUCCCCACUCCCUGGGGCUUGGUUGCCCAUCCUCCAUUGCAGCUCUGAUAUGGUGCAGCUGUAGCCUUGGAUCAGGGGGCUGGGGACAGAGCUGUGUGAGGAAGAGGCUUCCCAUGGGAAGCCUCAUGGGAGCCUCCUGCUCUUUGCUUGGGAGCUGCAUUGAAACUCAGGCUUCCAUCCUUGAGACUUGUCUUAGGUUUGCCUGUGCCUGUCCAUGCACCUUGCUGAUCCUGAGCCACUGGUUUGAUUGCUGACUUGACCCUGCACCUGCUUCAUCACUUCGGACAUGCCUGUGUUGAUUUCAAAGCUGAGAUCCAGAAGCAUUAGAAGUAGAUUCAGCAGUUCAGCUGCGGUUGACACUACCAGAACUGCUUCAUCAAGAGAAACAAGAGCAGAUGGAUACUUCCUUAACACCUGCUGCUGUGGGAGUCUUCUGAAACACUUGCAAAAUAUAACUACAGCAGAUAUUCCUUGCCACGUGCUCAGAGAGGGCAACAUUAUGGCUGCAUACUCUGAAACAGGAAAGGGAGACUAACACACAUAUUCCACAAGGGCCAUUGCAUGAUUUCAUGAAGCAGUAACACAUAUUAAAAUAAAUGAAUGGACAAGCAACAAAGACAAUCUCUCCUUGUAGCUAAAUAAAUCUUAGUCUGGUUCUGAUCCUUAGGCACUUAUGUCCCACCAUAUUACAGGUUAAAAUACUUUUCCAAACUGACUUUUUCCAAGUUAAUAGACAAAGUAGCACCAUAAUCAUAACCAUCCCACACUGAACAAAUGGCCAUUGCCGAUCUCGCAGAAACAUCUUCUUCCAAGGAAAAACAUGUGUUUCCAGACCUCUGACUUUGGCCAUCUUCAGAGACUUUGAAUAAUUGUUUAUUUGUGGGUUCUUUUUUUUUCACCCUGUUCCACUGAGGAGAAGUAGGGAGAGAGCAGCUGGGUAGGACAUUGUUAGCCACAGUUAAUCUACCAUACCAGUGUAUCAUCUUUGUAGCAUCUUUAAUUUGAUCUGUAUCAAAUGAGAGUAUUCAAAAAGUCACAAUUCUAGAAAAAUAUGUGAAUGUAACUUCAUGUUCUGAAGCUAAGCGCAUGAAAGAUUUUGCUUGCCUCUUUGUGGGUAAAAGUGGACAUUCCAGCAAAAGACAUGUAUAUAGGUCUUAAUUUUUUUUAAUUUCUCAAAAGUGAGUCUUAGUGGUUUUCCUCAUUCUCAUUUUUAAUUACAGAGAAGGGGUGGAAAUUAAUUCAAAUUACCCCAAAUAACUUUUGAAAACUGAUUCCUAUUCUUCCUACAUGUUCGAUCUGUAAGAUGUAUGCACAAAGUAAUGUUUGUCAAGAUGUGACAAUAUAACCAUAAUGACAUUAAUGUCUUAUCCAGGAGUCCCUGCUGGACAAACACUGCUGGAGCAUCACACUUGCCAAACAAAGCCAAGGCAGUCUUCUGUACCUUCUAGUUGCUUUCUACAGCUCAGGCUCUCUGCCAUUACCUCCUCCAAUCAAGCAUGAUUACAUACAUGCCUUCAGCUGGCAUUCUGACAAUUCAAGACAUGAGAUAGUGACAAAUAUAAACAGUGCUCUUAAAUUUGGAAAUCAGUAUCUAAGAGGUGGUAUGGUUGAAUUUUGGAACCAAUAUAAGCUGUCUACACAUAAUGCAAGGAAUACUGCAAGUGGUAUUAGACGUUUCAAUAUCUAUAUUACGUACCUUUAAACAUUCCAAAAUAUAUUUACAGUAUCUGGAAGUGUUUCUAAUGGAUCUUAUGUACAUGCAGUGUUUAGUCAAGUGGACUGUCCCUAUAGAGAUUAUGAACACAUCUGAUCCAUAAAACUCAGCUUCCUCAUUGGCUUGUGUUUUGCCUUGUGACACCUAAUAAUUUGAACUAUCAGAUCUAAAAUGUGCUUAAUAGAUUUGUAAUUUUACCCUGAGUGAAGAAUCAACUCAGCCAAACUUCUACCCAAUUUCAGAACAGCAUUAAAAACAUUUGGCAACUGAAAAUCUGCUAAGAUGUUUUUUAUCAAAACAGUUGGGAAUUAUACUUCUUAAAUUGCCUGUGGCUGCUUAUAAGAUUUUUUUUAAAAUAACAAUUCUUCUAUAUUUAUGGCAGUAGCUCAUCUAUUGCUACAAAUCAAAGCAAAAAAUUUCAACAUGAUGCUGAAAAUGAAGUUAAAGUUUGUAGCUGAGUUUCUUCAAAGAGGUUCUGAAUUUGGGGUUAGAGUACUCUCAUGUAUUUUUAUUUCAUGUUUAAUAACUCAUUUUUGCCUGUGAGAGUCCUUUCUUUCUGAAACUUGGUAUGACAUAAUGUCAUUUUUACACACUCAAGUCUUGAUCUUGUUGGCUGCCACAGGUGCCAUAAAAAUGUAAGGAAGGCAAAUAUCUCAAUUGAAAAUCUUAAAUUAAUGUUUUGUCACAAUUCAGCUGUUAUAUGCAGGAAGCUGAAUGGCUUAUAAUUCUUAGGUCUUUAGCUGAUAUAGGACCACUGAUUUUAGGAAGCCGAUGUGGCUAGCAAGGCCAGUUAUUCAUUUAAGCCAAACAAGGAAGCAGUAAAAUUUCUGACUAUUUUACUAAUGGCAGAGUGCAAUGGAACCUUAGAAUAGGACAGUUCAGUUGGAAGGGAUCUAAGACAAUCAUCCAGUCCAGCUGACUGACCAGUUCAGGACUGACCAAAAGUUAAAGCACACUAUUAGGGGCGUUGUCCUAAUGCCUCUUAAAUGCUGACAGGCUUGGGACAUUGAGCACUUCUCUAGGAAGCAUGUUCCAGUGUUUGACCACCCUCUGAUGAAGAAAUGCUUCCUAAUCCAGUCUGAAUCUCCUGUGGUGCAGGUUGAAAGUCCUUUCUGUCCUAUCACUGGGUCGGAGGGAGAAGCAAUCAGAACAUCCCUCUCCACUUCCCCUCCUUGGGAAGCUCCUCCAGAGAGCAAUGAAGUCACCUGUCAACCUCCUUCACUCCAAACCAGACAAACCCAAAGUCCUCACCUGCUCCUCAUAGGACUUGUGUUCUAAAUCCAGAUUGCUAAUAGAUAACCAGAGUUGAAAUUACUAAGAAUGCAUGUGUGUACACCAGAAGGAAAACACAGGAAACAGCAAGAGAAUUAAGUCAGAGAGUAACCCAAACAAGAGAAUUUAGAGUAAAAUGUUAUCAGAUGAAAGAUGUGUCUCCUAUUUCUUACUUGCCACCAUAUUCAGGAAAAUAGGAUUCCAUGUACAUUUUUCAAGAGUAAACAAGAUUACAACAAAGACAUUUCUGAUUGCAAAAUCAAUUUCAGGGGAGAAUAAAACAAUCUGAAAGGUCUCAAACUGCUUAACUUCUCAAGCUAUAUCUCUGUGGAAUUGUGUCUUGCUAUUCUUCUUAUUAUAGACCUGUAAGCGAAAAGAAGGGUGUUAUUUCCAAAAUGUUAUAGUUUGUGAGAUACAAACUGAAGGGAAAACAACUAUAUUUGUGAGGCAAUGAAGGAUUAUUGCACACUCAUUUAAAGCUAAAACAUAUAGUUUGUAAUUUAAUAGUAAAUCAUUCUAUGUUUAUAUGUUAUAUUUUUCUUAUGAAGUGACUUCAUAAGAAACAAAAACCCAACCAAAACAGCAAUGCUGAUUUGUCGUAAGAAAGCUGUUUUGCCAUACAGAAAUGGAAUAUUUUUCAGUUAGAGUUAUUUUCAUCAUUCUGUGAUAUAGCUAUUUCUUCUUACAUUAUUAUUUUUAACUGUUAAAAAUAAUCCUGCCAGGGGUAAAGGAAUAGAACAAUUUUUCAAAGUUUACAUUUCUGCUCUUAUGAAGACAAUAUAUUCAAAAAGAAAAAACACAAACUGCCCAAUCUCCUUAUGCUAAAAUAGGAAGUGUUCUAGGCAUUCUGCUAGAAUAUGGGAGGGAAGCUUUGGUCCUUGCUCUGAAGGUUGCUGGUAUUUUUAAAUAAAUACAGUUUACUGUAAAAGAUUCCUUUCAAAACUUCCUGUUCAGGAAGCCUUGUCUGGAAAUUUGUGCACUUUUCCCUCUUGAGUGAUUCCUUUAUCCUUUAUACACAAACCUUUAUUUAGUCUUUGCUUCUCUGCUUUUCUACAUGGUCCUUGUAUGCUGACCUACACAAUGGUGCAUAAGUCAUGAUGUGAUCGUGUCUGAAAAUCAGAGUAUAUUGAGGGAAUUUGGGUUGAGUCAAAUGAAUGCCUGCCUAUGUGGGGACUGCAGUGGAGGAUGAACUGACAGGCAGGAGUGCACCACCAUCAAAUUAGAGUGAAUGAGGGAUUAGACCAGGUUGGAAUGGAUGGCUGUGGGCAACAUAACUGAAUUUUAGCCUCAUUUAAAAAGGGUUUAGCUAGACUGCAUUCUUUCUGAUCACAUCAGCAUCCUGCAAAUGUACCUAUUGAUGUACAUAGUCACUGCCUUCUUCCCACAGAUAAAAUCUUUUUACUAUUUGUUGUACAGUAACAGCAGCCAUAAAGCAGGAGUGGCCCCAAAAGCCAGGUGAUGAAGUGUGUAGCUUAGAGGCAUUUCCAAGGCAGAUUAACACUCCUGAAGUAAAACUGGCCCAGUUUUGACAAAGAUUUUUCCUACGGAGUGUGGCAAUGCAGCAAACAGUGGCAAUACAGGAAAAUAACACUGAGAAAUCAUCGUUCAAAUGUCAGCAAGACAAAUGUCCCCUGUUGUGGCAGCCAGAGACCACAGCAGUCUAGAUACACUGUAGCAAUUCUUCAGGGCUUCUGACAGUGGUAGGAAACAGUUCUUACCUUUCCCUCAGGAAAAAGAUUACCACUGCAACUCCCAAGGCAACAGCUCCCAAGCAUGCUGAGAGUGAGAAAAUCCAAGUCUCUUUAUAUCUGCUCUUUCAGCUUUGCUCAGAGGUUUCCUUUUGCAUCAAUGGUGAAAGGUAGGAAUGACAUCCAGAUGUUCUGAAGUCUAUUUGGAGCCCCUCACCCCCUCCAGCACAGACACCUUGCAUGCCUCACAGCACUCUGCUGUAAGUAAAAGCUGGGACUCUACUUUUCAAGCACCACAAAGAGGUGGAGGAAGGAGCCUGAGAGUGGACCUAUGUUUCUCAAUCAGUGGAAGAGGUCACAGCACUGCUUAGGAAUGACAACACUCAGGCUCAAAGUACUGUGCACUUUUGAAGAACCUUCUAAUCAAAAUUUAAGUGUAUCCAACAAGCAAAAAUUUGGUUUCUUUCCUAUUGUACAGUAAAUCAUUACAAGCUUUUACUCAGUGUCUAAAACUGAAAUAGAGUUUGGUUUCAAAUGCAAGAUAGUAAUGAAAAUAAAACCCAGAGAUAUUCUUUGUGAAGACUGACAAAUUUCAAAGAAUGCAAAGUACAAACAUUCCAAAUACACAAUUACAUAAACUAUCUCAUUUUGCAAUAAAACUCAGUAAAACAUUAAAUUUUUAAUGCUUCUUUACCAUAGAAUAUGCAAAUCAACUUGUAAAAGUCUACAUCUUCCAACAAUAGAUGGCAUGACAAAUUCCUAUGUUCAUCACAACAUUAAAUGAUGUUAUAGCAUUUUAACAUUUGCGAAACUAAUCAUAACUGCCUAAGUAAUAUAUGAUGAUCAACUUAGCUCUAAAACAUUACAUAGAUUUAUUUUUUUUUCUCACAGCAAAAUGUAAAGUUACGAUAGAAGGAACAACAUCUCAAAAAUAUUUUACUACUUAUACUGAUUUAUCUGAACUGAGGACUAGGAAAAUAUUCCACUAUCCAUUACAGUGGUGUAAAUCAUAAUGCUCAGUGUCAAAGAAUAAGAGGUUUCUGUUUAUUAGCAACAAUAAGCACAAAGCCUGUUGCCUACUUCUAGGAGCAAUAGGCUGAAUUUUACGUUUCAUUUAAAAAUCAGUGAAGUAAUUUUAGGCACAGGUCUUCCUUAGAAAAGUACAAAAGUCACUUUUAAAUGGACAAAGCUUGUUGAUGUUUAUUUUUGCAACAGGAACACACCUGCUUCUUCAGGACAGGAACCACAUGGGUUUUCCUUCACAGAAUCAAGCCUCAGGAGCUGCUCAGCAUGAGGAGUACUUCAAAGACAGUGUGGUGUCUGAGAAUGCUGCUGAAGCAAAGGAAGGGUCUGGGCUGUGGUGUGCACACCUUAACACAGUCCCUCGUCAGACAACCAGGCUGUUAUUUAGCAACCCCAGAACGUUAUUAAUCAUUGUAUAAGAUGUUAUAUCAAUACAUUCUCAGUGCUCUUCAGCAAGGUAAAGGUAGGAUUGAAAUCAGCUGAUUAGCAGCUAGUGAGAGAAGAAUAGGCACAGAUUUAUAGGUCUGAAGUAGUGAACAGAAAGAGGACAAUUAGGGCAUAUACGGAUUCAUGUAUUAGCAGUCCACAAAUUUGUGAUUUCCACAAUAGAACAACUCCUUACUACUAUGUGGAUUAUUGAAGUGUCUUCUGCAGAACAAAAGAAAAGGAGGAGAGGGACAGGAAUGUGAACUUCACAUCAAAGUGAAGUUGCUGAUAUCCAUAUGCAGGUGUAAGAGAGGGGUAAGAGGUAUAAGGAGAGCAUGGUAAUAACUGACCUCUGUCUAAACUGGAAUAGCCCUCUCCACGCUCUACUUGCCAUCAAAUGUCUUCCUUCCUAUAGAACAGCAUUGGCUCAGAUCCAUUUUUAAAAGAUUUUAGGCAAUAAAAACCAUUACUUCAAAAAUGGGAAAAGCAGUGAGGUAGCAAUGUCUGCUUUGGCCUUUGUGGUGGGUAUAGUUUCAAGAUUAUCUGCAAUUAUCUCCUCGUUCAACCAUUACCAAAACACACUGUUGUGCAUCAGUAGUUAACAACUGUUGAAUCUCAGUGACAGUCCCUUGGAAGGAAAUGCUAUCAGGUAAGUCAGGAAGCCCUGCAUGCACCUCUGAAAUGUAGUACUCCUUCUUUAAGUAAUAAGAAUAGUCUGUUCUAUGUACUAUGGCAAAUCUCCAAGCACCACACAGGGCUGAACUUUAGAUGAAGCUGGCAUAUUUGCAACAGCUGGCCUAAGUCAGUCUCAUUGUUUGGAUCAACCGUCUCUAAACAGAGCUUAGAAAUAACCAUUCAAUUUCUCUUUUAAUAUCUUCAUUUUUAAUUGGCUUGUUGCAUUCUUUAUAUGCAUUGAAAUUCUAGUACACUAGCUCCUGUGGGAAAAUAGUACUCAGCAAUUUGAACUUGUUAGCUGCUCUGAACAUAGGGGACCUGAUUUUCAUUUAUGUUACAGUCGCUUUAUAUUGCUCAGGCAGUAAAUUGCAUUUACACUCAGUAAAUGAGCAACCAGAGUAGUGUAAAGUAACUUUAGCAUGAAUGAGAAUUAGGCCCAAAGCCUUCCUAAGUUUUUAUAACAACUCUGUUAUUCAUCUCAAUUGGUGAGAUAGGGAUUGAUUGACAAACAAAUAGCAACACAGUAUUGCCUAGUUUGGACGGAGAAUUGAGCCAGGGAUUAGAAAACCCCAAUUCAGCGAAGGAAAUCAGACUGGCUAUUAAAAGCCUGAAGUCCAACAAAGCACUAAGGCCAGAUGGUUUCAGCAUACAUUUUUACAAUCAGCUAAGUAUAAAAGAUGAAAUAGCUCCCCUGCUGGUUAAAGUAUUACAAAAUUAUUUACAGAUGGGAAUUAAUGUUAAUGAGUCAUGUAGAUAACUCCCUACAUACCAUGCUGAAAAUUUACCACCCUCAAGUUCAGUCCCAGCCAAAGCACCAGAAAGUUUCAUCAUUUGAAAAUCAAAAUAGAUGUUCCUUGUUUUACCACGUACAACUAACCAUUUCAGUUUCACAUCUAAGAGGCAUAAACAGAAGUAAGAUAAUGAGGGACAGAGCUAGUACCAGAAAUGCCCUAAAUGUGAAGAUUAUUUUAACUGUAAAUUCCCGUGGCUGGAAGAUUUACUCAUAAAAUAUAACAUACAGUAUGAGUGUGCUAUGGAGAGGACUGAUAUUAAAGAUGUGUGUAAGAGUGGUUGAGAGGAAUAUGCAGCUCUCUCUUUGUGUGAGUGACUCAGAGCCCUGUUAGGCCAAAAUGCAGAUUUCACCAUUUGAUGCUCCCAUGGGGCAGCCACUCACAUGAUAAAAGUGUUAAUGGGCCACCUAACUGCACACCAGUGAAACACUGAGAAUAUUCUGCACUUUUUAUCUGAAUAUAUGUACUGUUUGUUUGCACAGAUGCAAUUUAUUAGAUCUAACCCAAUCAAAAAUUUAUAAUAUACAAUAAAGAACACAGAAAAUUUCCUCACAGUGAACUUUUAGUCAGCUUAUAUGAAUGCAGAUUUUUCUCCUGUGUACAAAUUUAAGUUUUUCUCCUGUGUACAAAUUCAAGCUUUUUCCUCACUAAGUGCACAGGUAGAAGUAGACUGGAAUCUGAAUGAGCAGUUUCAGAUUCCUCUCCUCUCCACAGAUAAAAAUCUCCCUAAUCAUUGCACUCCCUUAACAUAUUCAUUUCUCUGAGGUAUAGCUAGCUUACUGUUUGAUCUCUCUUCUCUCAUUAAAAAGCAAACAAUUUAAAAAUACUCCUUGAUCAAGGUCCUUUCAAUUGCUCAUUUUACAAAUAGGGAUAAUCCAAAAUGAAUGAGACCAAGAAUAAAUUUCUGCUAUUAGUCAAAUAUAAUUACAGCCAGACAAAUGAUACUUCUUAAUUUUAAGAUUUCAUUCAGGAUCUGGGCUAGCAAGGCAGGUUAACACAGCACUCAACUUUCAGCUUUUCCAUUGUUUUCACUUUGACUUUAAUUAUAUUUAUUUGGCCUGUAAUAAGGACUGACUAACCACUUCAGCAUACAAAGAAACUACUAUCAGAUACAUUAUUUCAAAAGUCUGGGUUUGGAGGAAGAUGAAGACAGGUAAAGCUUCUGCAGAGAUCAUCAAAUGAUUUAGCCCUGCCGAGGGAAAACAAACAAAAACACUCAACUACCAGAGAAACAGGUUUUAGAAACACAUCUAUAGAAAAGGUUUCCUUGUGGUCAGUCCUUGAACAACCUUCUUCUGACUUUCCCUUCACUUAGAUAUUUUCCUUUUUAAAUCAAUCUUCAGCCUACUCAAAUAGCCAAUGCUGAGAUAUAUUUGAUGCUCUCCAAUAUUGGACAGUGGUGGAUUUUAUUUUUUUAGCUCCAGCAAUACCUGAAGUGCAAAAACCAUCCCACUCCACCCCCCCCCCCCCAGCAAAAAAACCCCUGAACCAGCAACCCAAAAAACAACAACAAAACCUGAAACAAAAGCGAAGGGCCAUUGUUGAAGGAAACAGGAGUUCCCUUUGGAGGGAACCCUUCAUCAUGAGGACUUGUGGCAACUCUGUAACAGGUUUGCACCAUUUCCAUGACUUCUUUGUGGGCUGCUCCAUGACCGAUGGCAGUGCUGUGGGAGGUGCCAGUGAGCACCAAGCAGCACUGUCGGACCCAUUGUGGUCCAAAUUGUCAAAGCUUGGCUAACAGCUGAUUCUCUUGUGUUAUGUUCACUUGUUAGUUAUAAGGACUGUCACUGAGAAGCCCAGGGGCAAUUCUGUAAAACCCAGUUUAUUAUCCAGAUCAUGAGAGGUAAUUCCUGAUGGCCCCAGCAUGCACAGUGCUGUUGGUCAGCUGGCACUAACUGCAAGGAAUCACACAUGUGCCACAGCUUGCACACAAUACAUAAAGGCACAUUUCUCAGAGAUAUCCCCUGCCAGUCAGUAAUAUGUACCCUAACUGUCAUUAAUACUAAUUUGCCUAAGUUAAUGAUACACUCAUUAACUAGAAAAGUAUAGGAAAGUAUAGUAAAGCAUAGUAACUAGAAAAAGAAUAGGAAACUCAUACUAGCUGUUGGGAAAAGUCCAUUUCUACAUCUGUGUUUUCCAUACAACUUGGCUUAAAUAUCUGCUCUGCUCUUGCAAGAACCCCAUCUGGAAUACUGUGUCCAAAUCUGGAGUCCUCAGUACAUAAAAGACAUUGACCUGUUAGAGAGAGUUCACAGGAAAGCCACAAAGGUUGUCAGAAGGCUGGAGUAUCUCCUGUAUGAGUACAGGCUGAGAGAGCGGAGGCUGUUCAGCCUGGAGAAGAGAAUGCACUGAGGACACCUUGUAGCACCUUCUAGUACCUGAAGGGUAUUCUGAAAAAGAGGGAUAGUGAGUUUUUACAUGGGCAGAUAUUGAUGGGACAAAGGAAAAUGGUUUCAAUGGUUUUAAACUAAAAGAAGAGGGAUUUCAAUUAGAAAUGAAGAAGAAAUUCUCUACUGUGAGGGUGAUGAGGUAGUGGAACAAGUUGGCCAAGGAAGCUGUGGAUGCUCCAUCCCUGGAAGUGUUCCAAGCCAGGUCAGGUUGGUCCAUGAGAAACCUGAUUUAGUGGAAGGUACCCCUGCCCAUGGCAUCCUUAAGGUCAUUCCAGCCCAAGCUGUUCUAUCAUUCUGUGAUUCUGGUUCUGUGUAUCCUGUCAAAUCAAAUACCCAAAUCUCAGCAACUCCAUUAUAUUGUCUGUUUUCUAUGAGAGAGAUUUUCCCCCAAAGCCAUCUGAGUUAACUUUUGUCUGCUGAUAAUCUUAUUUUUCACUGAAAACUUUUUUCUCUUCUCCCCAAACUGAGAAUUCCUUUCUCUCAGCUUCUUUCUUUUUGAACAUUUUCAUUAUAAGGAUGAGAAAUAAUGGGUAUACAAAUACUACAGUUGUUAUAUUUCAGUCUUGACAUGAAAAACUGUAUCUGAAACAGAUACAGUUUGAAAGUAUAAAUGACUCUCUAUAGUUUUCCUUAUUGCAUAUUAGAAGAAAUUUAGAUUGCAAGAUAAAGAUUUAAUGAACACAUUAAGAUGUAAAGACCAUUACUUAUUAAACUAAAACUGAGAUAAUGCAACAAACAAAUUAAAAAUACUGUUGCAAAUAAAUCAGCAAGUUGAUGGCUAUUUGAUUUAGAUUAUCAAGUUAUUCCAGCUAUGAGUCAAACCCUGCUGUGAGGUUGAGACAAGAAAAAAGUGGGAUUUUUUUUUUUUCUAGUCCUGUAUUGGGAAAGAAAUUGUGUUUGUGUCUCAGUUUAAUACAACUAUUUUGUUCACAUUUUUUUCCAUAAUAAUAGGGAUUUUCUGACAGCAAUUCAACUGUCAUGACUGCUUUAACAGAACAAUACAUAGACUGGAUAUUUUCUAGCAAGUACAGUGACUAAAUAAGCUUCCUUAGCUACAUUUUCACUGCUGUUUUCCCUUUUUCUUAAAUGUCAUAAUUGUUCUAGUAGCUAUUCUUUUGCUUUUCUUAUUACCUUCCCUAGUGCACAUAACAACAUAAAAACUAAGCAACAGAAAUAAAAGAGUGUUUACUAUGACAGGUUUCUACAUAACAGUUGCUCCAGAAAGCACUUCUGUAACUUUGACAGCACUUACUCACAUAAAAGACCAAUUUGGGAGCUCAUUUUAAGGUUUCAGAAAGUAUUAUCAGUAGGAUUUUUUUCACAAGCACAUAAAUUCAUUCUUUGUGCUUUCAUGAGCUGGCAGGACACAAAAGGACUAUUCCCUUAACACAAGGUAGUAGAAGGAUACACUUUUACUUCUUGGCCUACAGAUCUUUGAUGUAUGCAGGGGCUGCAUAGAGUAGCUGAUACAGUACUUUGCUUAAUUUUUUAACACCUGCAUCCACCUAAUGGAAAGCAGAUUUGUCAUCUGUCACACCCAGCUCAGACAGUUCUUGCAGAGUGUGCAGUAUCCAAAAGGAGAGUGGGACACUUCUUUUACCUGCUCUGUGUCCACCUUAGAUCACUCCUGGAGGUGAUUCUCAUAUGCAGUCUCUGGUAAUAGCUGCAGGCUUCUUAAAUAUCGGAUUAAAUAGCACAACCUUAAUACUGGACUGCAUGGCCUAUGUACAGUUAACAUAAUCCAGUCAUAUUUCCCACUUGAUAGGCUUUAGGACUAAGAUCACUACAGGAUCACAAAGCCACCCAACAACCACCCUUGGAAAAAUUCUUUCUUCAUCUGCCAAUGUUGAAAGCUCCAAAAAUAUUACAGCUGAAUUCUCUAUUACCUGGGGUAAAUCAAGACACACUAAUGUCGAUCCCCCAAAAUAUGAUUAGUAGGAAAUACAGUGCUGGGAUACUGAAGAAGCACCACUGAAGUCAGCCAGCAUUCAGCAUGAGAUGGAGCUGAGAACAGAAGAGACUCAGACUCCUUGCUGUGCCCUGUAGCACCCUCUGAUCAAUGGUUUCUGGCACACGACCGCAGAUCUGAGCUGGCUCUGUCUGCUCCCAAAGAGCUGCUGAGGGAGUUAAUAAGCCUCCUGGAAUUCACUGCCCUGAGAGGAAUGAUGCAAAGCCGUGAGGUUGGCUCUGUGGUGCUCAGCGGGGUGCUGGGACCGAGCCAGAGCAAAUGAGCCCGGCUGAUUCUGCUGAGGGACAGUUAAUUGCCUCUGAAACAGGCACCCCAGGACUCUCGGUUCACUCUAAGGAGCAGGCUCGGGCUUGUAGGAGUCAUGAAUUGAUCAAUCAGCCAUGGAGAAGUAGCUAAAACUGCUUUUGAAUUACUAGUGCUGACCCUGGAAGCAGUGCAGUUUGUGAUCAUGCAGUGCUCUGUCUGAAGCGACAGGCUCUGCACAGAGCCAGCUCCUGCCCUGCUCUCCCUGUGAGAGUAACCCACCCGCUGGACACUCACCCACUUAACCCCCUGAGCAUUAAGUGUAUCAGUUGCAUGCAAACCCCAGGCAGAAAAGGUGGCAUAAAUGUUUCUACCUUCUCUUAACAAAUAAACCAUAUUUGAAUCAUUCUUUUAAAAUGACUAAUGACCUUGUGAACACUCAACACUCACACUCAUUCACCUUUCUUUUUAUCACGAGAUUCCAAGUCAUAUAUCCUUGCAUGAAGGGAAAUUAGGCAAAUGUGUUGUAAGAUUUUAUCAAGGAGUAUUUUCCUGAUCUGCUCAGCAGAAACUACUUCCACCCCUUCUUACACUAAAUUCUAUUUAACAUUGCUUAAAUGUAAGGUAUUUAACAGACAGUUUUCCCCACCCCUCCUCAUGGUCUCUCUAGCACUCGUAUUUACUGCAACUGCUGGAAGCAAAUUUAAUAGAACUGCUGGCAGCAGUUUUUCAGCAGAAAGGCACUUGUUGCAAGACUCCUCUUCCAUUUCCUUUCCACCUUUUCUUCUUAUUGACGAGGAUGGCAAUUUAGUAGUUUCCCCCAUGCCUUGCAGUUCCUUCUCCAGACCACCUGCUGGACAUUAUUACACCACCAUUACCUCUAUGACAUUGAUUUCUGAUGAAUCUGCCUUAAAAACUGUGACUGUGGUUCUAUUUA
This is a long non-coding RNA of Parus major (Great Tit), 17694 nucleotides long. RefSeq lists it as uncharacterized. Lineage: Eukaryota; Metazoa; Chordata; Aves; Passeriformes; Paridae. The record is from RefSeq and is a predicted model, not a curated record. The transcript has 4 exons.